RNAcentral lists this long non-coding RNA (831 nucleotides) under Olea europaea subsp. europaea. The record is from RNAcentral. Lineage: Eukaryota; Viridiplantae; Streptophyta; Magnoliopsida; Lamiales; Oleaceae.
CUCGUCGCUAUAUAAACAAACGGGAGCUGCUGGCUCUAGCUCUCGCAAUCAACAAAAUGCUGCCUACCAUCCAAAUUGUUCAUGUGUUGAGGUAAGUAAUUUCAUUGUCUAUUCAUUUAAGAAAACAUUUUUAUAUACAAUUCCACUUACUACAAAAUUUAUCGGGAAUGUGGUCGACUGAAGCAGUUGAUUGAUAAGGAAAUGACCAAGCUCCAAGUGGAGAACAAGGAUUGAAAGAGGAGCUUAUGUCGACGAAGUCAGAAUUAUCUGAGAUGAAUGUAAACAUGCGUCAAUCAAACAAUUUUUUAAAGCUCAAUGAGGCCAUUCAGAGUCACAAUAUAUUGAAAGAUGGCUUGAGUGACAUCAGGUUGUCUCUUAAAAUUUUUGUUGAAUCUUUAUCUGACAUUUUAUCUUCGAUGAUGGAUGAAAUUCAUAAAAAGUUGAGUGGUGAAGAUAUUUUGACGAAACAAGUGUUGAAAGAUGAUGAUAUGGUUGACAAAAAGGACAAGGGUCACAUAGAACCUGUGCUGAAAGAUGAUGAUGUGGUUGACAAAAAGGGCAAGGAUCAUAUGGAACCUGAGCCAAAAGGUGAUGAUGUGGUUGAAAAAUGGACAAGGGUCACAUGACACCUGAGUUUUCACAUGCUCUUCACGAUGACUACGUUCUUGAAUCUCCUUCAUUUGAUCUAGGAGUUGGCUCCUCACAAACACCUAAAAGCUCUGAUGAUUCAUUUUUUGCCAGUAAAGAAGUGCAGGAACAGGUUGAUGAGGCUAUUGUACGCGUGUUGGAGUCUACUGAACUUCAAUCCAAAGAUGUCUGUUUUAAUGGAAC